Long non-coding RNA from Falco peregrinus (peregrine falcon), 1335 nucleotides. RefSeq lists it as uncharacterized. The transcript has 3 exons. NCBI's taxonomy places the organism in Eukaryota, Metazoa, Chordata, Aves, Falconiformes, Falconidae. The record is from RefSeq and is a predicted model, not a curated record.
CAAACUGCAUGCUGGUGUCCUUCUCCAAUGCUGUUAUCAGUUUAGGUGUUGUUGGCGGUAAGAGAAGCAGCCCUCUUGACAUGCAAUGUUUUCACAUAGUUGAGAGUAGGAACACAAAGUGGUCCUGAAAAAAAAGUAAUUUUCUGGCCCUGCUCUGAGUUUUGGUGCUGGAAAUGCUCUGUUCAAGCUACCAAGGCAACUGCUGCAGAGACGAGGCUCCAGGAGCAAGGUGCCUGGACCCCACUAAUCUACUUGCCACCACAACUGAAAGAAGCGAUUUUAGCUUGACCUAAGGUGGACAAUUGCUGAAGAACUCAUCUUCAACAGAUGGCUAGUCCACCAGCUGCCACUCUCUCCAGUGUUUGUCCACGACUGCAGAUGUUACAACUAUUAUUAAGUGGGUUUGCACAGUGAUAUUGCUAACCUACCAUAAACCCCUGGGCGGACUCUGUCCAAAAGAUCCUCUUAGUCACACUGUCUAUCUGGAUCUUUUUCUGAGCUUAUACAGCUUUUAAAGACAUUGAUGUUGCAGCCUGUUCCGGGGAACUGGUGGCAAAGCUCUCUUUGUUUCUCCUAAGGGAAGACCCCGAAGGCCACUAAAGCUGCACAGCAAUGUUUCCUUUCCUUUUAAGGGUGAGCUGAGGGAGGCAGCCUGCUUUCAUCCUUAAAUCUUACCAGAUGAGAGGGAAGCUAGUGCUGAUGACCAGGCAAUGAUGACCAGUGCUAGAGCUCCCACAGCCAGUGGAGAUGCAGCAUCAGCCAGAGGACGGGCGAUGUCAGGGCAUUGAAAGUUGGGGUCUGUAUGCCGCCCUGCUGCUGUCUGCAGUUCUUCCUCAGCAUCUUGUCUGUAGAACAGAGUUGACCAUCUCUCUGCCUCUGCUGGCAGGAUGCCUAGCGAGCCCAGGCAUUGCUGGAGGACAAAUACUGGUGAUGGUGGCACAGAUCCACGUGCAUGAGAAAGCAAAGCUUUUCCCAAUGACGCUUGCUGUAUCCUUUUCCCUAGUGGGAUCACUGCCAUUCCUUACUUAACUACAGAGGUCCCCCCUUUCCAAGCAGGGAAGAUUUGAAACUGUAUUUGAAAGAGGCUGUAUUUAGAUGCUUAUUUCCCUCUUGCUGAAAAAUUUUUUAGUAACUUUGUAUUGUAGUAAAGCUCUUUUCACAGGCAUAAAUGCUAAGCAAGGAAAUACUAGCUAAUAAUAAAAGAUGGACAACCUAUCUCAAAAAUAUGAGCACCUGCCUUGAGCGCUGGACUAUUCAAUCCUGAAAAUUAAUCAUGCUAACAUGAGCCUCCACUGUAAUAGCAAACUGUGUCAUGUUAUGACUUUCAGCCCAAGA